UCGGUCUGGGAUGGACUCGCGGCCUAUCAGGUAGUUGGUGAGGUAACGGCUCACCAAGCCGACGACGGGUAGCCGGCCUGAGAGGGUGACCGGCCACACUGGGACUGAGACACGGCCCAG
RNAcentral lists this ribosomal RNA (120 nucleotides) under uncultured bacterium. RNAcentral describes it as "partial 16S ribosomal RNA". It matches the Rfam family "Bacterial small subunit ribosomal RNA", at positions 215 to 334 of the family's 1533-position model. The record is from RNAcentral.